RNAcentral lists this ribosomal RNA (490 nucleotides) under uncultured bacterium. RNAcentral describes it as "partial 16S ribosomal RNA". It matches the Rfam family "Bacterial small subunit ribosomal RNA", at positions 30 to 507 of the family's 1533-position model. The record is from RNAcentral.
AUUGAACGCUGGCGGCAGGCCUAACACAUGCAAGUCGAACGGUAACAGGAAGCAGCUUGCUGCUUCGCUGACGAGUGGCGGACGGGUGAGUAAUGUCUGGGAAGCUGCCUGAUGGAGGGGGAUAACUACUGGAAACGGUAGCUAAUACCGCAUAAUGUCGCAAGACCAAAGAGGGGGACCUUCGGGCCUCUUGCCAUCGGAUGUGCCCAGAUGGGAUUAGCUUGUUGGUGGGGUAACGGCUCACCAAGGCGACGAUCCCUAGCUGGUCUGAGAGGAUGACCAGCCACACUGGAACUGAGACACGGUCCAGACUCCUACGGGAGGCAGCAGUGGGGAAUAUUGCACAAUGGGCGCAAGCCUGAUGCAGCCAUGCCGCGUGUAUGAAGAAGGCCUUCGGGUCGUAAAACUCUGUUAUUAGGGAAGAACAUAUGUGUAAGUAACUGUGCACAUCUUGACGGUACCUAAUCAGAAAGCCACGGCUAACUACGUG